RNAcentral lists this ribosomal RNA (926 nucleotides) under uncultured bacterium. Its description in RNAcentral is "bacterial SSU rRNA". It matches the Rfam family "Bacterial small subunit ribosomal RNA", at positions 28 to 963 of the family's 1533-position model. The record is from RNAcentral.
AAUGAACGCUGGCGGCGUGCUUAAUACAUGCAAGUCGAACGGAAUACUAGGAGCUUGCUCCGAAAUAUUUAGUGGCGAACGGGUGAGUAUCACGUGAGCAACCUGCCCCGAAGAUUGGGAUAACACCGGGAAACCGGUGCUAAUACCGAAUACCUUCCAAUGACCGCAUGGUCGAUGGAAGAAAUGUUUUUUCGCUUCGGGAGGGGCUCGCGGUCCAUCAGCUUGUUGGCGGGGUAACGGCCCACCAAGGCUACAACGGAUAGCUGGUCUGAGAGGACGAUCAGCCACACUGGAACUGAGACACGGUCCAGACUCCUACGGGAGGCAGCAGUAGGGAAUCUUGCGCAAUGGACGAAAGUCUGACGCAGCAACGCCGCGUGAGGGACGAAGGCUUUCUGAGUUGUAAACCUCUUUCGACAGGAACGAUUGUGACGGUACCUGUAGAAGAAGCACCGGCCAACUAUGUGCCAGCAGCCGCGGUGAUACAUAGGGUGCGAGCGUUAUUCGGAUUUAUUGGGCGUAAAGAGCUCGUAGGCGGUUCAACAAGUCGGGUGUUAAACCCCCAGGCUCAACCUGGGGCCGCCACCCGAAACUGUUGUGACUAGAGUUUGGUAGGGGAUCACGGAAUUCCUGGUGUAGCGGUGGAAUGCGCAGAUAUCAGGAGGAACACCAGUAGCGAAGGCGGUGAUCUGGGCCAAUACUGACGCUGAGGAGCGAAAGCGUGGGGAGCAAACAGGAUUAGAUACCCUGGUAGUCCACGCCGUAAACGGUGGGCACUAGGUGUGGGGACUUUUCAACGGUCUCCGCGCCGCAGCUAACGCAUUAAGUGCCCCGCCUGGGGAGUACGGUCGCAAGACUAAAACUCAGAGAAAUUGACGGGGGCCCGCACAAGCAGCGGAGCAUGUGGCUUAACUCGAUGCAACGCG